RNAcentral lists this ribosomal RNA (210 nucleotides) under uncultured bacterium. RNAcentral's name for it is "partial 16S ribosomal RNA". It matches the Rfam family "Bacterial small subunit ribosomal RNA", at positions 568 to 774 of the family's 1533-position model. The record is from RNAcentral.
AGCGCAGGCGGGAGAACAAGUUGGAAGUGAAAUCCAUGGGCUCAACCCAUGAACUGCUUUCAAAACUAGUUUUUCUUUGAGUAGUGCAGAGGUAGGCGGAAUUCCCGGUGUAGCGGUGGAAUGCGUAGAUAUCGGGAGGGAACACCAGUGGCGAAGGCGGCUUUCUGGACUGUAACUGACACUGAGGCUCGAAAGCCAGGGGAGCGAACG